RNAcentral lists this unclassified non-coding RNA (210 nucleotides) under plant metagenome. Its description in RNAcentral is "partial contains small subunit ribosomal RNA, internal transcribed spacer 1, and 5.8S ribosomal RNA". The record is from RNAcentral.
UUUCCGUAGGUGAACCUGCGGAAGGAUCAUUCAUAAUAAAGUGUUUUAUGGCACUUUUUAAAGAUCCAUAUCCACCUUGUGUGCAAUGUUAGAUCUCGUCAAUCUUGGCGAGGUUUUUAUACAUCAACUCAUUCUUUAACUAAUUUGUCUGAAAAAUAUUAUGAAUACUUAAUUCAAAAUACAACUUUCAACAACGGAUCUCUUGGCUCU